Molecule: small RNA, 639 nt
Filed under: Pongo abelii (Sumatran orangutan)
Lineage: Eukaryota; Metazoa; Chordata; Mammalia; Primates; Hominidae
Description: processed transcript
Source: RNAcentral
AUUGCAGGGUUGGGUUGUGGGGUGACCCUCUCAGCCUCCAAGCCCACCCCACGCCACAUCACCCAGAAGCCGCCCUCAGAGCAUGUGAGUGCCGCCUACAGCUGGAGGGCCUGCCUCAGAAGCCAGUUAGUGCCUUGGGGCUCUUGGGCUGGCACUCCCCGUGCCAGCCUCACAUCUCAGUGGCAUCACCAACCUCACGGUGCUCCUGCAGACUGGGUGUUGUGUCUCCCACAGAUGCGGAGAAGGGAGGCAGCCUGGUGGUGGGGGACUUCGAGAUCGCAGCCAAGUACGUGUGUCGGACCCUGGAGACACAGCCACAGAGCGGCCCCUUCGCGUGCAUGGACCUCACCUACGUCAGCCUGCUACUCCAGGAGUUCGGCUUUCCCAGGAGCAAAGUGCUGAAGCUCACUCGGAAAAUUGACAAUGUUGAGACCAGCUGGGCUCUGGGGGCCAUUUUUCAUUACAUCGACUCCCUGAACAGACAGAAGAGUCCAGCCUCAUAGUGGCCGAGCCAUCCCUGUCCCCGUCAGCAGUGUCUGUGUGUCUGCAUAAACCCUCCUGUCCUGGACGUGACUUCAUCCUGAGGAGCCACAGCACAGGCCGUGGUGGCACUUUCUGCACACUGGCUGUGGGACUUGC